This 2953-nucleotide long non-coding RNA is filed under the name Nicotiana benthamiana. RNAcentral's name for it is "long non-coding RNA (NBEN_LNC013557)". Lineage: Eukaryota; Viridiplantae; Streptophyta; Magnoliopsida; Solanales; Solanaceae. The record is from RNAcentral.
GAGUUUGUGAAGUUAAUUCUGGCUCAAAAUCCUCAGCUUGCUGCUGAACUGGAUUCGCGACAGUCAUCAGCUCUUCACAUAGCUUCAGCUAAAGGACACCUACAAAUUAUCAAGAUGUUGUUAGUAGUGAAUCCUGAUAUAUGCUUAGCUCGUGAUCGCGAUGGUAGAAAUCCUCUCCAUCUAGCAGCCAUCAAAGGUCGAGUUAAAGUCAUCAAAGAACUAAUACAAAUCAGGCCUCGAGCAGCUCUAGGAACGACGAUCUAUGGGGAAAACGUUUUGCAUUUGUGUGUGAAGCAUAAUCAGCUGGAGGUUCUCAAGGUGCUGAUGGAGAUUGGAUCAUGGGACCAUGAAUUCUUGAAUGCAAAGGAUAGUGAUGCCUUCACCAUUCUGCAUUUGGCUGUUGCUGAUAAGCAAAUUGAGGUAUGCUAUUGUUCUUAGAAAAGAAAUUUACAUCGUUUUUUCUUAUAAUCGUAGUGUUCGGGCCAGCUUGUGUACACCACGAUUAAUUUUACGUGAUACCUGCUAAUUCUCACCUUAUGGUUCUCAACCUACUUCAUUGAUCGCUAGGUUGGCUGCGAAAUUAACUUCAUUUUCUUAUAGUUAUUAAACCACCUACCAUUCUUGCAGACUAUCAAAUACUUGCUAAAGACCAAUCAAAUAGAUGUGAAUGCAAUGGAUGCAAAUGGGAAUACAGCAUUAGAUAUUUUAGCACAGAGUAGGAGGGACAUGAUUGACCUACAAAUUGGAGACACUAUCAGAGAUGCUGGAGGCUUAAGAGCAAAGGAUAUCCAAAAUGAUAUCAAAAUUCCAAAUAAAUUAGCUGCAACUCCGCAUUCACUACCAGCCUCAACAACACCAGCAUAUUUAGGAGGAAAUCAGGCCCAAAACCAUCCAUCAAAAGGCGAUUGGCUAUCCAAAAAACGCGAAACAAUAAUGGUGGUGGCCUCACUUAUUGCAACCAUGGCAUUCCAAGCUGGAAUGAACCCUCCAGGAGGUGUUUGGCAAGAACAAGGAAAAUUGGAUAAUAAGGGAAUACCUUCACAUAGAGCAGGGGAAGCAGUAAUGGCUUAUAAUCAUCCCAAGUCGUAUCGAUAUUUCCUUCGUGCUAACACCAUUGCCUUUGUCUCUUCUCUCAGCACAAUAUUGCUGCUGAUAAGUGGAUUGCCGUUCAAGCGCAGGCUGUUCAUGUGGGGUUUGAUGGUUAUCAUGUGGUUAACAGUUACUACUACAGCACUCACUUAUGGCAUAUCAAUUUACAUCGUCACACCUAAAAAGGACAGCGAACCACUUGGUCAGGUUAUUGAAAUUGGAGUUACAGUAUGGUGUGGUUUAAUGGCACUACUCCUGCUUGGAAACACGAUACGUUUGUUGCGUAUAUGGCAGAAAAAGAGACAUAAAAUAAGAUCAGCAGCAGCAAAAAAAUCUGCAAAUUCAGGUUGUGUCAAUGUUUGAUAUGCUGUAUUAAGAGAAAUUUUCAUGUCUGUUCUUAAUUCUUAUAUCUCAUUAUUGUCAAAUGUUAUGAAUCUAAAUGCAUAGAUAAGUAAAUUGGUAUUCUUAAUAAAGUAGUCACCAUAAUAGCUUUUAAAUUGGGAAAAAGUAACAAUUUAAUCAAACAGAAACUUCUUGCUAGCUUCAAAAAUGGCUUGCAUCACUGUGCAUAUGGUUUAUACACUCACUUUGAUUAUUCAAACUGCUCUCUUUGUUUCUAGUUAACAUUUAUAUAUUAAAUUAAACAAUAUUGACAAUUCACUAGUACACAUAAUAAUUUAACAGACAAAUUUCUCUGCUUCUAGCUUAGUGUUUUCCAGUCAACCACAUCUAAACUUCCAGCUUUUAAAAUUACCAGUUAAAAGAAAGUUUGGCUCCAGUUCAUCUUUCUCAAUCAACCAUAAACAAUUGAUAAGAAUGCUUCAAUUAUUAAGUGCCGAUAGACUAUUAUAUGUCAAUGGAGAUUAAACUCAAAUUUUAUCUUCUUAUUUUUUUUCCUGUGCUUGACAUAUAUAUGAUUGACUAACAUUUAAUCACUUUUGAGCUGAAAUUAUUUUGGCGAUUUAGGUUAAAAUCCUUGUCUGAUUCUGAUAUUUCAAUAAAAUGUAAGGUGUUUUUUGCUAUAAAAAACGUGAGAUUUCUUUUCCCAACGUGUGAGAUUUUAAGUUUGGUUGUGCUAAACUUUGUAAUGUUCUGUUUUGAAUUUGCUAGUUAUGAAAAGAGAAAAUUUCAUUUGUAGCCAUUGGAAAAAAAACAAUGACAAUAGCUAGUUAUAAAAUAAAUUAUGCAAUUAACAGCCCAAAAAUAAUUAAAAAGUUAGUACUUCGUUACCUUCAAACCAGAUCUCCGGUAUUAUUUUUCUUCCUUGCAUUUCCCGUUAUCUCUCUUCUCUUCUAUAUUUUCUUCAGUUUCUCCUCUUCUUCCCCGUCCCGAUAUUCUCCCGAAACCCUAACUCCAUGAUCGAUUACUCCUUUGUGACCAAAUCUCUGCGAUCUCCGAAUCAGCUGAGAAUGCUAAGAAUCUGGACGAAUUCGCUUGGAAAAAGAAGUCGUUAACUAAUAUAUUUUUUCCAGAUUGAAGGAAAGAUUAAAAACCAAAUUUAUUAACAAAGAAGAAAAAAAAAAGUGAAGAGUUGGCACUACCUACAUUUACAACCUAUUAGUUUAAAUUGAAGAAAUAUUUACUUCUCAUCCCAUUGAUUUUUAAUUGUUGUUAACUAAUACAUCCGACAACAGAUUUUCCAUGUUAAAAUUAAAUUAUCUUUGAGCUAUGUAUACUCAUUUGGCUCUAAUGUCAAAUUGAAAGAUUAAAAGCUAAUUAAUCAACAAAGAACAAAGAACAAAGGUAAAAAUGAAGAAGCACUGUCUACAUUGAUCCCUUUAUUUUCUUAUGACUUACGUGGUUAUUUCAUAACACAUACAGAGAAAUUUUGAAUCUCACCUCUAAUGGUUGUCCUGUUCACUGC